AACAGAAACGUUACGCUAAAUGGAACGACGAACGUGAAACUCAGUCGACCACCUCAAAUGAGCUCCCUACGAGCUUUAAGUGAACACCAUUGUUGCUGGUGGUGAAGGAUAGGUUUGUUUUUGGUUUUGCAUCGUGUGUUUUGUUCAACCACUGAAGCUUUACUGUGUGUUGUUUCUAAAAUGGGAGAUGAAGGUUGCCUACUGGUUCAUGAAAGGCAUGGAGGGGUUGUGUAAUGGUUGAAGAAGAAGCAUCUAGCCUUUUUUGUGCGUUUUUCGUUUUUUUUUCCAGCUGUUGAGUCUUUUUC
RNAcentral lists this long non-coding RNA (305 nucleotides) under Nicotiana benthamiana. Its description in RNAcentral is "long non-coding RNA (NBEN_LNC010452)". Lineage: Eukaryota; Viridiplantae; Streptophyta; Magnoliopsida; Solanales; Solanaceae. The record is from RNAcentral.